RNAcentral lists this ribosomal RNA (433 nucleotides) under uncultured bacterium. Its description in RNAcentral is "partial 16S ribosomal RNA". It matches the Rfam family "Bacterial small subunit ribosomal RNA", at positions 29 to 507 of the family's 1533-position model. The record is from RNAcentral.
AGCGAACGCUGGCGGCAGGCUUAACACAUGCAAGUCGAGCGGGCACUUCGGUGUCAGCGGCAGACGGGUGAGUAACACGUGGGAACGUACCCUUUGGUUCGGAAUAACGCUGGGAAACUAGCGCUAAUACCGGAUACGCCCUUUUGGGGAAAGGCUUGCUGCCGAAGGAUCGGCCCGCGUCUGAUUAGCUAGUUGGUGGGGUAAUGGCCUACCAAGGCGACGAUCAGUAGCUGGUCUGAGAGGAUGAUCAGCCACACUGGGACUGAGACACGGCCCAGACUCCUACGGGAAGCAGCAGUGGGGAAUAUUGGACAAUGGGCGCAAGCCUGAUCCAGCCAUGCCGCGUGAGUGAUGAAGGCCUUAGGGUUGUAAAGCUCUUUUGGCCGGGACGAUAAUGACGGUACCGGAAGAAUAAGCCCCGGCUAACUUCGUG